GCAAGUCGAGGGGCAGCACGAGUACUUGUACUUGGUGGCGACCGGCGCAAGGGUGCGUAACGCGUAUGCAACCUACCAAUUACUGGAGGAUAGCACGGGGAAACUCGGAUUAAUACUCCAUAGUAUUUUCAAGUGGCAUCACUUGAUUCUUAAAGAUUUAUUGGUAAUGGAUGGGCAUGCGUGUCAUUAGCUAGAUGGUAAGGUAACGGCUUACCAUGGCAACGAUGACUAGGGGGCCUGAGAGGGUGAUC
This 251-nucleotide ribosomal RNA is filed under the name uncultured bacterium. RNAcentral describes it as "partial 16S ribosomal RNA". It matches the Rfam family "Bacterial small subunit ribosomal RNA", at positions 57 to 305 of the family's 1533-position model. The record is from RNAcentral.